UACGUAGGGUGCAAGCGUUGUCCGGAAUUAUUGGGCGUAAAGAGCUCGUAGGCGGUUUGUCGCGUCUGGUGUGAAAACUCGGGGCUUAACUCCGGGCCUGCAGUGGGUACGGGCAGACUAGAGUGCGGUAGGGGAGACUGGAAUUCCUGGUGUAGCGGUGAAAUGCGCAGAUAUCAGGAGGAACACCGGUGGCGAAGGCGGGUCUCUGGGCCGUAACUGACGCUGAGGAGCGAAAGCGUGGGGAGCGAACAGG
RNAcentral lists this ribosomal RNA (253 nucleotides) under uncultured bacterium. Its description in RNAcentral is "partial 16S ribosomal RNA". It matches the Rfam family "Bacterial small subunit ribosomal RNA", at positions 524 to 776 of the family's 1533-position model. The record is from RNAcentral.